AUAACAUUCCGUUCUAUCGCUUUCAAUUUAUCAAUUUAUGAGGAUGAGGCGGUUUAUUGAAAGAGGAAAGUCCGGACUCUAUAGGGUAACAUAGCGGAUAACAUCCGUCAUCUUCUGAGCAAUUAGAGGAGAGGACCAGUGCAACAGAAAGCAAGUACAGGUAAUGCUGUAGUGAAAACAGGUAAACUCUAUGUAGAGCAAGACCAAAUAUAGGGAGAGAGGUAGCCCGCCUCAUUUGAUCCCAGGGUAGGUCGUUAGAUCCUGGCAGUAAUGUCAGGGCAAGACAAAUGAUAGAAUCUGGUUCAUUGUUAUUGAACUAGAACAAAAUCCGGCUUAUAGGAAUGUAAAUAAA
Molecule: RNase P RNA, 352 nt
Filed under: Flavobacteriales bacterium
Lineage: Bacteria; Pseudomonadati; Bacteroidota; Flavobacteriia; Flavobacteriales
Description: RNase P RNA component class A
Rfam family: Bacterial RNase P class A
About the family: Ribonuclease P (RNase P) is a ubiquitous endoribonuclease, found in archaea, bacteria and eukarya as well as chloroplasts and mitochondria. Its best characterised activity is the generation of mature 5'-ends of tRNAs by cleaving the 5'-leader elements of precursor-tRNAs.
Source: RNAcentral